UACGUAGGGGGCAAGCGUUGUCCGGAAUCAUUGGGCGUAAAGCGCGUGUAGGCGGCCCGGUAAGUCCGCUGUGAAAGUCGGGGGCUCAACCCUCGGAUGCCGGUGGAUACUGUCGGGCUAGAGUGCGGGAGAGGCGAGUGGAAUUCCUGGUGUAGCGGUGAAAUGCGCAGAUAUCAGGAGGAACACCAAUUGCGAAGGCAGCUCGCUGGAACGUUACUGACGCUGAGACGCGAAAGCGUGGGGAGCGAACGGG
Molecule: ribosomal RNA, 253 nt
Filed under: uncultured bacterium
Lineage: Bacteria
Description: partial 16S ribosomal RNA
Rfam family: Bacterial small subunit ribosomal RNA
Source: RNAcentral